Molecule: long non-coding RNA, 1148 nt
Organism: Nicotiana attenuata
Lineage: Eukaryota; Viridiplantae; Streptophyta; Magnoliopsida; Solanales; Solanaceae
Exons: 5
Source: RefSeq, a predicted model, not a curated record
UUCAUAUUUUGGUAUUUUUUUCUUUUGUAUAAUCAGUGAAAAGAUUAUUGGGUUGGGAUUCCUAAUUUGAUAAUUUAAUUUUCUGAAGUUGAUUUAAAAUUGCGAUUCUGCAUUCUCUGCGGCAGAUUUUAAUUGCCUUCUUUUGCUUCGUUGAUGUGUGUUUCUGCCUUCCCCACUUAACUAAUCCAUGUUAGUAGCAGUGUGGAUUGUGUACUAUAGAAGAGUGCCGAAAGCACCUUCUUGAAUUGCUAAAAUUGUGUUUAGUGAUACCUAGUGGCUUGUAAAAAAAUAUUAUGCUUAGAGAAUCUUAGAAAGACAACGAGAAAGAAUUUAGCUUAAAGAUAUGCUGUAUUUCAUGAAUGAGAAUAUGUAAAAGCUUAUUAAUUGACCUACAAUUGAGAAGAAGGUGAUACCAAAGUUACUGUUGCAACCUUGUCUGGUUUGCAUCUACAUAGAGCAGGAGUUAGCAACAGGUUGUUUGAGUAAUGGAUAAAUUUGAGAGUGUUGACAUGAAUGAUUAUCGUAAUCAUAUCUUGGAUGGAUGAAAGAGUUAUGGAAUAAAUGGAGAGGACACUUACAUGCAAAAUAUGUGAAGGAUAAGCCAAUCCAACAUGCUCUUAAGAAUAUUCCAAAGGGAGUAGAUAAGAAAGAAUGGGAGUGGUUAGUAAAGGAACAUUUUUCAUCAGAAAGUUUUCAGGCAAGAAGCAAUAGGAAUGCAGCAAACCGAGCUAAGUUGAAGAUGCUUCAUCAUAUUGGUAGCAAACCUAUUCGAGAGAUUAUUUAUCAAAAGGACCGCUUGUCUACCUUAGAAGAUGAGAUGAAAGAAAUGAAGAAAAUAAGGAAAUCAUUCGCUGCUCAACAAUCACAUGUCUCGCCUACGACAUCGCCCGUUUCAACUGAAUGACCACUAUUUUUGUCUGCUGGCCAAGUUUUGAAGAUUGAAGCUACAAGAAUGCAAGUUUGGAAGAUAUACAAGCUCAUUAUUACUUUGCUAGGAAUAUUAUGUAAAACUUGAUAUUGUUGUCUAACGCAAGAUGUUAGCUAAGCUUUUUUGUUAAGGUGUUGAGUAAAUAUUGAAACUAACAUCAUGGGAUGUUAACAUUGUAAUUAAUAUCUUUUUAUAUCAAGACUUUUUAGUAGCAAUUUGA